UACGCGAGUCACUGGGACUUCUGCAAUCCCAAAGGCGAAGCGAAAGCGAAGGGCCCUCCGCCUCCGGGCGAAGGGGGCCUUAGGGCUGAUGGGCGGCGCCAGCGUCGCCCCGCAAGCCCGGGGCGUCCCGUUUCUCGCCCGCGCGUCGUUUCGGCGUUCGCAGCGGGGCCGAGUUGGGGCGCACCUAGAGCGUACGCGCCGGGACCCGAAAGAUGGUGAACUAUGCUCGGUCAGGACGAAGUCAGGGGAAACCCUGAUGGAGGUCCGCCGCGAUUCUGACGUGCAAAUCGAUCGUCGGAACUGAGUAUAGGGGCGAAAGACUAAUCGAACCAUCUAGUAGCUGGUUCCCUCCGAAGUUUCCCUCAGGAUAGCUGGCACACGGAAACUUCGAGUCUCAUCCGGUAAAGCGAAUGAUUAGAGCUGUUGGGGUCGAAACGACCUCGAACUAUUCUCAAACUUUAAAUGGGUGAGAGCUCCGGCUUGCUCGAACGCGUCCGGCCGCAAGGCCGGAGGUGAAGCCGCGAGACCUCUCGGAUCAGUGCGCCAAGUGGGCCACUUUUGGUAAGCAGAACUGGCGCUGUGGGAUGAACCAAACGCCGAGUUAAAGCGCCCAAAUCGACGCUCAUAGGACAC
Molecule: ribosomal RNA, 633 nt
Filed under: Hydraena paeminosa
Lineage: Eukaryota; Metazoa; Arthropoda; Insecta; Coleoptera; Hydraenidae
Description: eukaryotic LSU rRNA
Rfam family: Eukaryotic large subunit ribosomal RNA
Source: RNAcentral